Molecule: long non-coding RNA, 566 nt
Filed under: Brassica napus (rape)
Lineage: Eukaryota; Viridiplantae; Streptophyta; Magnoliopsida; Brassicales; Brassicaceae
Description: long non-coding RNA (BNAP_LNC025044)
Source: RNAcentral
AUGUAUAUAUAGUGAGAAACAUACCUUUAUACAUGUGUAUUUUAUGUGAUUGUCUAUAUUUUGAAAUAGCCCAUGUAUUUUGACACAAACGAUGAUUUUGAAAGUCAUACUUUUGAUAAGAAGAGCUAAAAAUAGCUUAACUUAGAUAAUUGACUACUUUACAUUUAUUGGUGCAAAAUCUAGAUUAUAAGGAAAAUACCCUAUAUUCAAGAUUUGUUAUGAAUAUUAGAUAUGGAUGACUAUUAUAGAGAUAAACUCAUAGGAUAUUCUAGAUAUACUUAUAUUUAAAUUUACUUUAUCUCCAAGUAUUAUAUCCUAUAUAUAUCUGAUUCCCUGUGAAAUAAUACAGUAUUAAUUCUCCUUUCUUUUUUCUUUGUUCACAAUACGUUAUCAACACGAAAUCAUACCUCAUCUGAGCAACUUCCAAAUACAUGAAACCCUAGCUUUUGAAAAAAAUAUCGAAACCGUCUUUCCAUCGAGACCUAAAUAUUAUGUUUAAUCUUAAUUCAAUUGAUCUAUAAUCUUGUACUUUAAUUGAAACUAGAGCUUGAUCCGCGCACCCCUCU